GAGGCGUGGCUUAGAGACCGGGGAGGCGGGGCUUCGCUUAUAGUCGUCUUAAGUAUGCCAGAGCAUCCACCCGCUGUAGUUGUCUCUGGAGAGAAACAAACUUCGUAAAGCUGUAUUGCUCUCUGGUGGCGCUGUUUGGACAGGAUGUAGAAUCUUUGGGACAUCAGACCUAGCUGGCAGGCAGCUGGGGAGCAGGCCUUGAGGGUUAUAGCCCUGCCCUGCUUCCAGUCCUCUCUCCUACUGGAGCCAUCAAGAUGGAAAGGAGCCAUGUCCUGGUCUUCAUGCUUUCCCUGUCAUAAUGGACUACACUUCCAGACCUCUCUUGUGCACCUGGCCAGAUCUCCAGCAGAAUCCUGGCUGCCUUUACCAGGAUGGCCACAAGCUUUUCAAAGUAGCAUGUCUCAAACUGAGUGGAUUCUCUAGCCAGCUCUCCCCAUAUUUCCCAUUUGGGUAAAGUGCUGGUGGCUGGUGGCUGUGUCAGAGGAGCAGCAGGUGGCAAUUGAAGUUAGAGGUGUCAGUCCACCAAGAGGCGAAUCCCUGAUGGGUGAAUCUCGGAUAGAUUAUGACAAGUUCAGUGACUUGAGAGCACAAAUGUAUCAUUGCUGGCUCUGGAGGUGAUCUGAGCAUUUACCCCAAUAUCUGGCUCCGGGCUUUUUAUUAUAAGACCUUUAGAAAUUCAAGCAACAUCUGGCGCCCAAUGUGGUAAGUGAUAAGCCCAGUGAGUAAAACCCAAGUUGGGCUCCAGGCAGUAAGCGUUGCAGCUCAUGUCCAGAGGCGUGACCUACAACCAGAUGGGCGAUUCUCUUCAAAGCUCUCAGAAGUGAACUGGGCGACAGUACCAUGGCAGAACAGGAUGUGGAAAAUGAGCUUUUGGAUUAUGAUGAAGAUGAAGAGCCCCAAGCACCCCAGGAGAGCACUACAGCUCCCCCAAAGAAAGAUGUCAAAGGAUCUUAUGUCUCCAUUCACA
Molecule: long non-coding RNA, 967 nt
Organism: Peromyscus eremicus (cactus mouse)
Lineage: Eukaryota; Metazoa; Chordata; Mammalia; Rodentia; Cricetidae
Exons: 5
Source: RefSeq, a predicted model, not a curated record